Molecule: ribosomal RNA, 442 nt
Filed under: uncultured bacterium
Lineage: Bacteria
Description: partial 16S ribosomal RNA
Rfam family: Bacterial small subunit ribosomal RNA
Source: RNAcentral
CCUACGGGGGGCAGCAGUGGGGAAUAUUGGGCAAUGGAGGCAACUCUGACCCAGCAACGCCGCGUGAAUGAUGAAGGUCUUCGGAUUGUAAAGUUCUUUUCUAAGGGAAGAAGAAAGUGACGGUACCUUAGGAAUAAGCCUCGGCUAACUACGUGCCAGCAGCCGCGGUAAUACGUAGGAGGCAAGCGUUAUCCGGAAUGACUGGGCGUAAAGGGUGCGUAGAUGGCAUAGUAAGUCUUUUGUAAAAAUGCUGGGCUAAACCCAGUAGGGCAAAAGAUACUGCAAAGCUAGAGUAUGACAGAGGCAAGUGGAACUACAUGUGUAGCGGUAAAAUGCGUAAAUAUAUGUAAGAACACCAGUGGCGAAGGCGGCUUGCUGGGUCGAUACUGACAUUGAGGCACGAAAGCGUGGGGAGCAAACAGGAUUAGAUACCCUUGUAGUC